This 867-nucleotide ribosomal RNA is filed under the name Priestia megaterium. RNAcentral describes it as "bacterial SSU rRNA". It matches the Rfam family "Bacterial small subunit ribosomal RNA", at positions 20 to 868 of the family's 1533-position model. Lineage: Bacteria; Bacillati; Bacillota; Bacilli; Caryophanales; Bacillaceae. The record is from RNAcentral.
UGGCUCAGGAUGAACGCUGGCGGCGUGUUAAUACAUGCAAGUCGAGCGAACUGAUUAGAAGCUUGCUUCUAUGACGUUAGCGGCGGACGGGUGAGUAACACGUGGGCAACCUGCCUGUAAGACUGGGAUAACUUCGGGAAACCGAAGCUAAUACCGGAUAGGAUCUUCUCCUUCAUGGGAGAUGAUUGAAAGAUGGUUUCGGCUAUCACUUACAGAUGGGCCCGCGGUGCAUUAGCUAGUUGGUGAGGUAACGGCUCACCAAGGCAACGAUGCAUAGCCGACCUGAGAGGGUGAUCGGCCACACUGGGACUGAGAUACGGCCCAGACUCCUACGGGAGGCAGCAGUAGGGAAUCUUCCGCAAUGGACGAAAGUCUGACGGAGCAACGCCGCGUGAGUGAUGAAGGCUUUCGGGUCGUAAAACUCUGUUGUUAGGGAAGAACAAGUACGAGAGUAACUGCUCGUACCUUGACGGUACCUAACCAGAAAGCCACGGCUAACUACGUGCCAGCAGCCGCGGUAAUACGUAGGUGGCAAGCGUUAUCCGGAAUUAUUGGGCGUAAAGCGCGCGCAGGCGGUUUCUUAAGUCUGGUGUGAAAGCCCACGGCUCAACCGUGGAGGGUCAUUGGAAACUGGGGAACUUGAGUGCAGAAGAGAAAAGCGGAAUUCCACGUGUAGCGGUGAAAUGCGUAGAGAUGUGGAGGAACACCAGUGGCGAAGGCGGCUUUUUGGUCUGUAACUGACGCUGAGGCGCGAAAGCGUGGGGAGCAAACAGGAUUGGAUACCCUGGUAGUCCACGCCGUAAACGAUGAGUGCUAAGUGUUAGAGGGUUUCCGCCCUUUAGUGCUGCAGCUAACGCAUUAAGCACU